RNAcentral lists this ribosomal RNA (305 nucleotides) under uncultured bacterium. RNAcentral's name for it is "bacterial SSU rRNA". It matches the Rfam family "Bacterial small subunit ribosomal RNA", at positions 335 to 654 of the family's 1533-position model. The record is from RNAcentral.
UUACCUACGGGGGGCAGCAGUGGGGAAUAUUGGGCAAUGGGCGCAAGCCUGACCCAGCAACGCCGCGUGAAGGAAGAAGGCUUUCGGGUUGUAAACUUCUUUUGUCAGGGACGAAGCAAGUGACGGUACCUGACGAAUAAGCCCCGGCUAACUACGUGCCAGCAGCCGCGGUAAUACGUAGGGGGCAAGCGUUAUCCGGAUUUACUGGGUGUAAAGGGAGCGUAGACGGCAUGGCAAGUCUGAAGUGAAAGCCCGGGGCUCAACCGCGGGACUGCUUUGGAAACUGUUAAGCUGGAGUGCAGGAG